AUGAACGCUAGCUACAGGCUUAACACAUGCAAGCCGAGGGGCAUCAGGAAGAAAGCUUGCUUUCUUUGCUGGCGACCGGCGCACGGGUGAGUAACACGUAUCCAACCUGCCCUUUACUCGGGGAUAGCCUUUCGAAAGAAAGAUUAAUACCCGAUGGCAUAAUGAUUCCGCAUGGUUUCAUUAUUAAAGGAUUCCGGUAAAGGAUGGGGAUGCGUUCCAUUAGGUUGUUGGUGAGGUAACGGCUCACCAAGCCUUCGAUGGAUAGGGGUUCUGAGAGGAAGGUCCCCCACAUUGGAACUGAGACACGGUCCAAACUCCUACGGGAGGCAGCAGUGAGGAAUAUUGGUCAAUGGGCGCUAGCCUGAACCAGCCAAGUAGCGUGAAGGAUGAAGGCUCUAUGGGUCGUAAACUUCUUUUAUAUAAGAAUAAAGUGCAGUAUGUAUACUGUUUUGUAUGUAUUAUAUGAAUAAGGAUCGGCUAACUCCGUGCCAGCAGCCGCGGUAAUACGGAGGAUCCGAGCGUUAUCCGGAUUUAUUGGGUUUAAAGGGAGCGUAGGUGGACUGGUAAGUCAGUUGUGAAAGUUUGCGGCUCAACCGUAAAAUUGCAGUUGAUACUGUCAGUCUUGAGUACAGUAGAGGUGGGCGGAAUUCGUGGUGUAGCGGUGAAAUGCUUAGAUAUCACGAAGAACUCCGAUUGCGAAGGCAGCUCACUGGACUGCAACUGACACUGAUGCUCGAAAGUGUGGGUAUCAAACAGGAUUAGAUACCCUGGUAGUCCACACAGUAAACGAUGAAUACUCGCUGUUUGCGAUAUACAGUAAGCGGCCAAGCGAAAGCAUUAAGUAUUCCACCUGGGGAGUACGCCGGCAACGGUGAAACUCAAAGGAAUUGACGGGGGCCCGCACAAGCGGAGGAACAUGUGGUUUAAUUCGAUGAUACGCGAGGAACCUUACCCGGGCUUAAAUUGCAGUGGAAUGAUGUGGAAACAUGUCAGUGAGCAAUCACCGCUGUGAAGGUGCUGCAUGGUUGUCGUCAGCUCGUGCCGUGAGGUGUCGGCUUAAGUGCCAUAACGAGCGCAACCCUUAUCUUUAGUUACUAACAGGUUAUGCUGAGGACUCUAGAGAGACUGCCGUCGUAAGAUGUGAGGAAGGUGGGGAUGACGUCAAAUCAGCACGGCCCUUACGUCCGGGGCUACACACGUGUUACAAUGGGGGGUACAGAAGGCAGCUAGCGGGUGACCGUAUGCUAAUCCCAAAAGCCUCUCUCAGUUCGGAUCGAAGUCUGCAACCCGACUUCGUGAAGCUGGAUUCGCUAGUAAUCGCGCAUCAGCCACGGCGCGGUGAAUACGUUCCCGGGCCUUGUACACACCGCCCGUCAAGCCAUGGGAGCCGGGGGUACCUGAAGUACGUAACCGCAAGGAUCGUCCUAGGGUA
Molecule: ribosomal RNA, 1432 nt
Filed under: uncultured organism
Description: 16S ribosomal RNA
Rfam family: Bacterial small subunit ribosomal RNA
Source: RNAcentral